This 402-nucleotide unclassified non-coding RNA is filed under the name Homarus americanus (American lobster). RNAcentral describes it as "zinc finger protein Xfin-like, transcript variant X3". Lineage: Eukaryota; Metazoa; Arthropoda; Malacostraca; Decapoda; Nephropidae. The record is from RNAcentral.
CACUAUAGCCAAAGGUGUCACUAUAAGUCUUGCCGGGUGUACUAAUCUUGGUUAUAUGUGCCGAGUAGUAUUGUUGAACAUGAUUGAGGGUUAAUUAGCGGAAAGAUAAUUGUCCCAGACAUUGAGUGGGUAGUGGACAUCUGCCGUAUUAGGAGUGUUGUGGGCAGGGGUGCACUUCUGAUUGUUACAGUGCAUAUGGUACAAAGGUUAUGUAACUUGACGCUUUAUGUGUACUGUACUUGUACCAUUUAUUUGAUUAAUUUUUUGUGUGAAUUCAAUAGAAAGUGUUCAAAUUCUCACUUGCCCUAUUUUUUUUCUGACUGUUGAAUUUAUUGAUAUAACCCGAGUUGGGAGCCACGAAUUACCCAAAAGUACCCAAAUGUACCCAGAAGUAUAACAAAU